RNAcentral lists this transfer RNA (83 nucleotides) under Schistocephalus solidus. It matches the Rfam family "tRNA". Rfam says of the family: Transfer RNA (tRNA) molecules are approximately 80 nucleotides in length. Their secondary structure includes four short double-helical elements and three loops (D, anti-codon, and T loops). Lineage: Eukaryota; Metazoa; Platyhelminthes; Cestoda; Diphyllobothriidea; Diphyllobothriidae. The record is from Rfam by way of RNAcentral.
AGCCUCAUAGCUCACGUGGCUAUAGCAUUGGCUGUACUAAAGCCUUCCUCUUGCUGUCGUAGGUUCGAAUCCUACUGAGGCCG